GCCCAGACUCCUACGGGAGGCAGCAGUGGGGAAUUUUGGACAAUGGGCGAAAGCCUGAUCCAGCCAUGCCGCGUGAGUGAUGAAGGCCUUCGGGUUGUAAACCUCUUUAGGCCGGGACGAAAUGGCGCGGGCUAAUAUCCCGCGUCGAUGACGGUACCGGAAGAAGAAGGACCGGCUAACUACG
This 184-nucleotide ribosomal RNA is filed under the name uncultured soil bacterium. RNAcentral's name for it is "partial 16S ribosomal RNA". It matches the Rfam family "Bacterial small subunit ribosomal RNA", at positions 329 to 505 of the family's 1533-position model. The record is from RNAcentral.